AGUCGAACGAUGAAGCUCCCAGCUUGCUGGGGGUGGAUUAGUGGCGAACGGGUGAGUAUCACGUGAGUAACCUGCCCUUGACUCUGGGAUAAGCCCGGGAAACUGGGUCUAAUACCGGAUAGGACUCCUCAUCGCAUGGUGGGGGGUUGAAAGAUUUUAUCGGUCUUGGAUGGGCUCGCGGCCUAUCAGCUUGACGGUGGGGUAGUGGCCUACCGUGGCUUUGACGGGUAGCCGGCCUGAGAGGGUGACCGGCCACACUGGGACUGAGACACGGCCCAGACUCCUACGGGAGGCAGCAGCGGGGAAUAUUGCACAAUGGGCGCAAGCCUGAUGCAGCGACGCCGCGUGCGGGAUGACGGCCUUCGGGUUGUAAACCGCUUUCAGUACAGAAGAAGCCCUUUUUGGGUGACGGUAUGUGCAGAAGAAGCGCCGGCUAACUACGUGCCAGCAGCCGCGGUAAUACGUAGGGCGCGAGCGUUAUCCGGAAUUAUUGGGCGUAAAGAGCUUGUAGGCGGUUUGUCACGUCUGCUGUGAAAGCCCGGGGCUUAACUCCGGGUGUGCAGUGGGUACGGGCAGGCUAGAGUGCAGUAGGGGAGACUGGAAUUCCUGGUGUAGCGGUGAAAUGCGCAGAUAUCAGGAGGAACACCGAUGGCGAAGGCAGGUCUCUGGGCUGUUACUGACGCCGAGAAGCGAAAGCAUGGGUAGCGAACAGGAUUAGAUACCCUGGUAGUCCAUGCCGUAAACGUUGGGCACUAGGUGUGGGGGACAUUCCACGUUUUCCGCGCCGUAGCUAACGCAUUAAGUGCCCCGCCUGGGGAGUACGGCCGCAAGGCUAAAACUCAAAGGAAUUGACGG
This 855-nucleotide ribosomal RNA is filed under the name uncultured bacterium. RNAcentral's name for it is "bacterial SSU rRNA". It matches the Rfam family "Bacterial small subunit ribosomal RNA", at positions 60 to 916 of the family's 1533-position model. The record is from RNAcentral.